UAAGCAUAUCAAUAAGCGGAGGAAAAGAAACCAACAGGGAUUGCCUCAGUAACGGCGAGUGAAGCGGCAACAGCUCAAAUUUGAAAUCUGGCGCAAGCCCGAAUUGUAAUUUGUAGAAGAUGCUUCGGGUGCGGUACCGGUCUAAGUUCCUUGGAACAGGACGUCAUAGAGGGUGAGAAUCCCGUACGUGACUGGUUACCUAACCUAUGUGAAGCUCUUUCGACGAGUCGAGUUGUUUGGGAAUGCAGCUCAAAAUGGGUGGUAUAUUUCAUCUAAAGCUAAAUAUUGGCCAGAGACCGAUAGCGCACAAGUAGAGUGAUCGAAAGAUGAAAAGCACUUUGGAAAGAGAGUUAAACAGUACGUGAAAUUGUUGAAAGGGAAGCGCUUGCAACCAGACUUGCGCGUAGUCGAUCAUCCGGUGUUCUCACCGGUGCACUCGACUGCGUUCAGGCCAGCAUCGGUUUGGGUGGUUGGAUAAAGGCUGUGGGAAUGUGGCUCCCCCGGGAGUGUUAUAGCCCACGGUGCAAUGCAGCCUACCUGGACCGAGGACCGCGCUUCGGCUAGGAUGCUGGCGUAAUGGUUGUAAGCGACCCGUCUUGAAACACGGACCAAGGAGUCUAACAUCUAUGCGAGUGUUUGGGUGUCAAACCCAUACGCGUAAUUAACGUGAACGGAGGUGAGAACCCUUAAGGGUGCAUCAUCGACCGAUCCUGAUGUCUUCGGAUGGAUUUGAGUAAGAGCAUAGCUGUUGGGACCCGAAAGAUGGUGAACUAUGCCUGAAUAGGGUGAAGCCAGAGGAAACUCUGGUGGAGGCUCGCAGCGGUUCUGACGUGCAAAUCGAUCGUCAAAUUUGGGCAUAGGGGCGAAAGACUAAUCGAACCAUCUAGUAGCUGGUUCCUGCCGAAGUUCCC
This 911-nucleotide ribosomal RNA is filed under the name Lareunionomyces loeiensis. RNAcentral describes it as "partial large subunit ribosomal RNA". It matches the Rfam family "Eukaryotic large subunit ribosomal RNA", at positions 35 to 971 of the family's 3401-position model. Lineage: Eukaryota; Fungi; Ascomycota; Leotiomycetes; Helotiales; Neolauriomycetaceae. The record is from RNAcentral.